RNAcentral lists this ribosomal RNA (468 nucleotides) under uncultured bacterium. RNAcentral's name for it is "partial 16S ribosomal RNA". It matches the Rfam family "Bacterial small subunit ribosomal RNA", at positions 28 to 507 of the family's 1533-position model. The record is from RNAcentral.
GACGAACGCUGGCGGCGUGCUUAACACAUGCAAGUCGAACGGAAAGGCCCUGCUUUUGUGGGGUGCUCGAGUGGCGAACGGGUGAGUAACACGUGAGUAACCUGCCCUUGACUUUGGGAUAACUUCAGGAAACUGGGGCUAAUACCGGAUAGGAGCUCCUGCUGCAUGGUGGGGGUUGGAAAGUUUCGGCGGUUGGGGAUGGACUCGAGGCUUAUCAGCUUGUUGGGGGGGUAGUGGCUUACCAAGGCUUUGACGGGUAGCCGGCCUGAGAGGGUGACCGGCCACAUUGGGACUGAGAGACGGCCCAGACUCCUACGGGCGGCAGCAGUGGGGAAUAUUGCACAAUGGGCGGAAGCCUGAUGCAGCAACGCCGCGUGCGGGAUGACGGCCUUCGGGUUGUAAACCGCUUUCGCCUGUGACGAAGCGUGAGUGACGGUAAUGGGUAAAGAAGCACCGGCUAACUACGUG